GGGCCCGCACAAGCGGUGGAGCAUGUGGUUUAAUUCGACGCAACGCGAAGAACCUUACCAAGGCUUGACAUCUACAGAAUCCUUGAGAGAUCAGGGAGUGCCCUUUUAGGGAACUGUAAGACAGGUGGUGCAUGGUUGUCGUCAGCUCGUGUCGUGAGAUGUUGGGUUAAGUCCCGCAACGAGCGCAACCCCUAUAUUCAGUUACCAGCACUUAAAGGUGGGGACUCUGGAUAGACUGCCGGUGACAAACCGGAGGAAGGUGGGGAUGACGUCAAAUCAUCAUGCCCCUUAUGUCUUGGGCUACACACGUGCUACAAUGGGCGGUACAGACGGAAGCGAAGCCGCGAGGUGAAGCAAAUCCGAGAAAGCCGCUCUCAGUUCGGAUUGCAGGCUGCAACUCGCCUGCAUGAAGUCGGAAUCGCUAGUAAUCGCAGGUCAGCACACUGCGGUGAAUACGUUCCCGGGCCUU
This 469-nucleotide ribosomal RNA is filed under the name uncultured bacterium. RNAcentral's name for it is "bacterial SSU rRNA". It matches the Rfam family "Bacterial small subunit ribosomal RNA", at positions 917 to 1382 of the family's 1533-position model. The record is from RNAcentral.